UUUGAUGCAUAUUGCCCGAAGAAUGGCUUAAGGUCAUCAGGUGGAUAUUUAAGAAUUGUAAUGCAGAAUGAAUGGUUUGUAAAGACAAUGUAUAAUGCCGACCAGGAUCGAAAACUUGGUUAUGAUCCUUUAGUUUCCCUGUAUCUGUAGGUAUGUAUACCACUGGGAGUUUGUAUGCAGCUACGUUAAGCUGUUGUUGUACGCAGUAGUUGUAAAAGAAUUGUAAAGCUGGUUGGUUGCAGUCGAUACUCCUGGAACUGGAAAGGGAAUAAAUUAUAUGUAUGUUUCUAAAAGCUGGUAAAUGCUUGCAUUGUUCAUUGUGUUCAUGGUCGGUAAGCCGGAAGUGGAAGCUUUGCUUCUUUUUUUAGCGGUAAGCUUUGCUUUGCUGAGAGACCAGAAACAUUUAGCAUUCGGUGACAUCCAAUAAGAAAAGAACAAAAAGAAGCAUUCUCAGCA
Molecule: long non-coding RNA, 456 nt
Filed under: Linum usitatissimum (flax)
Lineage: Eukaryota; Viridiplantae; Streptophyta; Magnoliopsida; Malpighiales; Linaceae
Description: long non-coding RNA (LUSI_LNC003965)
Source: RNAcentral